CCUACGGGAGGCAGCAGUGGGGAAUUUUGGACAAUGGGCGAAAGCCUGAUCCAGCCAUUCCGCGUGAGUGAAGAAGGCCUUCGGGUUGUAAAGCUCUUUCGCAAGGGAAGAAAACUUAGAUACUAAUAUUAUCUGAGGUUGACGGUACCUUGAUAAGAAGCACCGGCUAACUACGUGCCAGCAGCCGCGGUAAUACGUAGGGUGCGAGCGUUAAUCGGAAUUACUGGGCGUAAAGCGUGCGCAGGCGGUUUUGUAAGUCAGAUGUGAAAUCCCCGAGCUCAACUUGGGAACUGCGUUUGAAACUACAAGACUAGAAUAUGUCAGAGGGGGGUAGAAUUCCACGUGUAGCAGUGAAAUGCGUAGAGAUGUGGAGGAAUACCAAUGGCGAAGGCAGCCCCCUGGGAUAAUAUUGACGCUCAUGCACGAAAGCGUGGGGAGCAAACAGGAUUAGAUACCCUGGUAGUCCACGCCCUAAACGAUGUCUACUAGUUGUUGGUGGAGUAAAAUCCAUGAGUAACGCAGCUAACGCGUGAAGUAGACCGCCUGGGGAGUACGGUCGCAAGAUUAAAACCGUCAAAAGUAGUAGUACGGACGUGAGAGAGACGACGACGACGACGACGGAGGGAGGAGG
This 631-nucleotide ribosomal RNA is filed under the name uncultured bacterium. RNAcentral describes it as "bacterial SSU rRNA". It matches the Rfam family "Bacterial small subunit ribosomal RNA", at positions 338 to 1252 of the family's 1533-position model. The record is from RNAcentral.